UACGUAGGGUGCGAGCGUUAAUCGGAAUUACUGGGCGUAAAGCGUGCGCAGGCGGUUUUGUAAGCCAGAUGUGAAAUCCCCGGGCUUAACCUGGGAACUGCAUUUGUGACUGCAUAGCUAGAGUACGGUAGAGGGGAUGGAAUUCCGCGUGUAGCAGUGAAAUGCGUAGAUAUGCGGAGGAACACCGAUGGCGAAGGCAAUCCCCUGGACCUGUACUGACGCUCAUGCACGAAAGCGUGGGGAGCAAACAGG
Molecule: ribosomal RNA, 252 nt
Filed under: uncultured bacterium
Lineage: Bacteria
Description: partial 16S ribosomal RNA
Rfam family: Bacterial small subunit ribosomal RNA
Source: RNAcentral